This is an RNA transcript of Xiphias gladius (swordfish), 4395 nucleotides long. It is a transcript of the gene named heterogeneous nuclear ribonucleoprotein A0-like, with no coding region annotated. NCBI's taxonomy places the organism in Eukaryota, Metazoa, Chordata, Actinopteri, Istiophoriformes, Xiphiidae. The record is from RefSeq and is a predicted model, not a curated record. The transcript has 3 exons.
GCCUCCGGUAUAAAUACUGCUGCGUUCUUCCCCCGCCACCAUUUUGAGAUUAACAGACGACUAAAUCCGCGUAAAGACUAUUACAUCGCCGUUCAAAAAUGACCGACCAGCUUUGUAAACUUUUCGUGGGUGGACUGAACGUGGACACCGACGACGAUGGCCUGCGCAAGCAUUUCGAGCAGUACGGUACGCUCACCGACUGCGUUGUCGUCGUGAACAAGCAGCUGCAGCGGUCCCGCUGUUUCGGCUUUGUAACCUACUCCACACCGGAGGAGGCCGACGCAGCAAUGGCUGCUAGGCCGCACACCGUCGACGGCAACGCGGUCGAGGUGAAGCGGGCCGUGGCGAGAGAAGACGCCAACAAGCCAGAGGCCCUCGCAAAGGUGAAGAAAAUCUUCGUUGGCGGCCUGAAGGACGACAUUGAAGAGGAACAUCUGACCGAGUACUUCUCGCAGUACGGUCAGAUCGAGAAGGCCGAAGUCAUCUCGGAGAAGGAGACCGGAAAGAAAAGGGGGUUCGGCUUUGUGUACUUCACCGACCACGACGCAGCCGACAAGGCGGUAGUGGUGAAGUUCCACACCGUCAAUGGACACAAAGUUGAGGUUAAGAAAGCCCUGACGAAGCAGGAGAUGCAGGCAGCCAACAGAACCUCUAUGGCGCCCAGGGGCAGACCGGGUAGAGGCAUGAGGGGAAAUCAAAAUGGCUACGGCAGCAGGGACUACGGUGGAAACUACAACUACGGAAAUGGCGGAGGCUACAACUGUGGCGGCUACGGAGGGUACAGCGGACCCUAUGGGGGCGGCUAUGGAGACCAGGGAAGUGGCUAUGGUGGUGGAAACGGGUACAACGAGUUUGGCAGCGGCUAUGGCCAGCAUUCUUCUGGUUAUGGCCCCAUGAAAGGGCCCUUCGGCGCUCAGAGGAGCGCUGCUCCCUACACCAGAGGCGGCGGUGGUGGCUACCAGAGGGGGGGCUACGGCGGCGGCUACUAAAUGAGACUGUAAAACGGAAAAACAACCACCCAUCCCCUGCCACAAAUUACCUCCAGCCAGGAUUUGAACGCCAAAACUUAAAAUUCAGUUACGGGGCGUCUGCCGUGAAUCCCAACCAUGGCAGAGAUACGGACACAGAGACCCCCUCUAAUCAUAAUGAAGACCUCAAAAACCCAAACAGGUGUUCUUACUCGUAUUCCUGUAGGCUAUCCCAGCCAAAAUAGCCGUAGCAGUUUGUUUGUAGGCUACAUCAGGACCCUGUUGAUUACCUGGGGUCGAUUGUGAUAGGAGUCUGAAAUAUCUCUUUAGGAUAUCCACAUCCAGCAAACUAGGUUGCUAGGGUAACCUGGGCACGAGGACAUCACCCCGAAAAUGAUGGGGUGUGUGUCUCCACGCCGACGUGGGGGCCCGGAGAGUGGUUGUGCCUUCUCCCCCUCAGGUGAAGUCAGUUUUCACAAAGGAUUCCCCAGUUUGGUCAAAAUUUUAUUUGACUGAGUAACAGGGUUUUAAUCAAACAGGUUUUGUUGAAGAUGUGUUUGGUUUCAGGUAUGGGUGAAUUUUGAUAACACAGUGCUCCAGUGCAGUCAUAAAUGUUCUUUUCCCAAUGACCAGCGCUGAUUAUUAACAAUGGACCUGUGAAGUGAUCUAUUACACCACAACACUGAAGCCAGUGGUUUCCAACCUUUUUGGCCACUUACCCCUUAAAGCAUUUAGUGGUGAACCCUCAUCACAGGUUAGUCUUUGUGUGGACAUCAGUGUUUUCUCCUCAGGAAUUUUGAAGGGAAGCGUUUUUUAAAUUGGCCCUAAGAGGUACAAAUAUUCACUAUUAAAUGGGGGAAGAAAAAAAAAACAAUUUGAGUGGUCAGAAAUACAAUGUUUGUUCUUUCUACAAUCAUCUUGUGAAGUCUUAGAUUCAUCUUGUGUCCUACCAUAAAUUUAAGAAUGUAAAAUUUAAAUCUGGUUUCAGAAGCAUCAAAGAUGCUGAGACGUGCAGCAUUACAUUUGAAGCUAAUGACAAGAAUAAAGGUGGUGGCAUGGGUUCAGUUUGUUAUUGGUAAUCUUGUGAAGAUUACCCCCCCAAGUUGAAAACCACUGACUUCCUGGGAGAAGUUUGCAUUUGGGCACUGGGUUUCAAAAUACAAUAAACCAAUAUGAUGUCUUGUGUUUCUAUAGUCUACAGGUUUAACUCCCAUAUUGGGUUGUGUAUGUUUUUAUAUGGUUGUACAGUGUUUAUUUUCAAGUAAGGAAAAACUAAAAUAAAGUUAUACUUUGGCUGUAUUCUAAGCAUGAUACUCCUCUUGGGAGGCAUGUGUUAAUGAAAUGUGAAUUGCUUCAUUGGCACAUUCUGCAUGUGCCUGAAAAGCCAGAAACGCUCCUCCACAGCUAGAUGCACAGUGCCUGUAAAUUAACUGGAGAUGGGGUAAAGAAUACAAAUGAACUGUGACGAUCCAUCAAAUUUCCCUGAUGUGUGGAUCUGCCAUCAGAGGAUACUGUGUUUCCCUUUAUCACAUUGAACUUGAGCCUGGAAAGACAACAGGUGAAAUAUAUACAAUGCCCUUUGAGGACAACAGGAGUUGUUGCAGAAUAUCAGAUGUAAGUAAUUAGGGUAAUAAGAGGUUGAUGCCCAUUUGAGCCAAUUUGUAGUAGUAGUCCUUUUUAAUACACCCAAGAUUUGCGUUGAACAGGCUCUGGAGGUGUAAGAGAUUAUUUAAUAUAACAAUUCUGGUUUAUAUGUGAUUUUUUUUUUUUUUUUAACCACCUUUUACGCAAUUAACACGAAACAAAAUUCUACAGCUAUGGGGCUGUGUUUUUCAGCGAUUAUGGGAGAGAGUUGAAAUUUCCAAAGGUGUAAAGUUGUUACCAGUUUAAAGUUUCAGAAGCCAAUUGGAGACCAGUGAGUGGCUUCUAUGACCAAAUAUUCAAGUCUGCUGUGAGUUUUUGUCAUUGUGAAUUUUUUGGGGGGGUCUUAAAGUCUGCUGACCAAAAUCUAAAAGAAAUUUUUCAUUGUUGUUGGUCAUGGUGUUGUGUGUGUCAUUUAGUCAGUGUUGGUUUUAAUUUUAUUCUUAAAUUUUAAGGUUGCUGCUAAUUGAGCAGCUUAGAGCUAUGCUUGAAGUGCUCUCUCUCAUGCUCUCAGAUAAAGACAGACAUGCUCUUUAUCUGUUUUAAAAGGCGAGUUGAAGUAGCCAUAAGUGAGCUUAUCAAUAAACUCUUGAUGUUGAACACACCAAUGCAUCAGACAGUGUAUACUUAUUUGCAUUGUAAGGUGUACUUGCUGUAAUGGUAUGAGAGAGACGAGCACUAAAACCUCAACACAAAACAUAAACAGUAAUCCCUCAAUUCCAUAAAAUGUGAUAUUUCAGGAGAACUAGUGAGACACACAAGUUGCUGUAAUGUGCGUGGCAAAAAUACUGUGAGUGAUGAUAUGGUGAUCGGAGUGUAAAUAUUACUUUUGUUCUCUUACCUUUGUAGGAUUAAUGAUGCUUCUGAUCAUCCCGUAGGAAAAGGAAACAUCUGUUUUGUUGGCCGUGCUUUUUAUGAAUCUACAAUAAAUCUAUAUAUUUUUAUAUACCAAGAGACUUGUUAAGUUACUUUUGUGUUCUAUUUUUGAUUGGGCAUAGUUUGGUUGUAUGUGAUACUUGUCAUGAAGGGGUCAAAAUAAGGUUGGUUGUCACACUGAUUAUUUUCAUUCUGUCCAACAGAUAAGGUUUGUGAGGCCAAAGAUCCAAAGUUGGUGGAUGUAUGUGUGUUUCGUUCAACCAGGUUGGAAUUGUAAAAUCUACUGAGUACAUUUUCAGGUCUUUGGAGUUCUGUGUGUCCAAUUCAAUGCUUUAAAUUUUGGUUCUGAUAUUGACAAGAGACUUGGCUGGACUGUUGUAAUGUCAAAAACUUGAUGACCUAUUUUAACCCUUGGGUGGUUUACCUAAACAAAUACUGCAGCUUUCCUGGUGACAAGGCUGUGCCAAAAAGGAAAAAUGGGUAGUAGGAGCAAUUACAGUUCAAUACGUGGGCAUGUACCAUCAUGCUUUAAUGUGCUGUAAGCAACCUGAAUAGAUACCCUGGGUGAGAAGGGCUGAGACAAGUUUCAUUUAUUGCGAAAGGACUGAGUUCAGCCAACCCCUAAUCGCUAAGAUAUACCGUAUUCCAACUGUCAAAGCCAUCUCAGAACUAAUAUCAACAGUGUAAAUUAACUGUAGUUUAAAAAGUAUUUUAAAAACUUGUCAAGCACAGCCACAGGACGCACAUUAAACGUGGUACUAUGAAGAAUAAGUGUCGUAAAGAAAAAAACUGACCCACUUAAGUGAUUUUCCUCUUUUCAAGUGGGUCAGCAUUGGCCGUUGAAGACUGCAAAACCGUAUUAUGCGUAAUAAGAGUGUGAUGUUGCUUUGUUUUGUUUUUGCUAGGGGUU